This 1347-nucleotide ribosomal RNA is filed under the name uncultured bacterium. RNAcentral's name for it is "bacterial SSU rRNA". It matches the Rfam family "Bacterial small subunit ribosomal RNA", at positions 28 to 1381 of the family's 1533-position model. The record is from RNAcentral.
GACGAACGCUGGCGGCGUGCUUAACACAUGCAAGUCGAACGAUGAAGCCUGGCUUGCUAGGUGGAUUAGUGGCGAACGGGUGAGUAAUACGUGAGUAACCUACCUUUAACUCUGGGAUAAGCCCGGGAAACUGGGUCUAAUACCGGAUACGACCAAUCUCCGCAUGGGGUGUUGGUGGAAAGCGUUAUGUAGUGGUUAUAGAUGGGCUCACGGCCUAUCAGCUUGUUGGUGAGGUAACGGCUCACCAAGGCGACGACGGGUAGCCGGCCUGAGAGGGUGACCGGCCACACUGGGACUGAGACACGGCCCAGACUCCUACGGGAGGCAGCAGUGGGGAAUAUUGCACAAUGGGCGCAAGCCUGAUGCAGCGACGCCGCGUGAGGGAUGACGGCCUUCGGGUUGUAAACCUCUGUUAGCAGGGAAGAAGAGAGAUUGACGGUACCUGCAGAGAAAGCGCCGGCUAACUACGUGCCAGCAGCCGCGGUAAUACGUAGGGCGCGAGCGUUGUCCGGAAUUAUUGGGCGUAAAGAGCUUGUAGGCGGUUUGUCGCGUCUGCUGUGAAGGCCGGGGCUUAACUCCGUGUAUUGCAGUGGGUACGGGCAGACUAGAGUGCAGUAGGGGAGACUGGAAUUCCUGGUGUAGCGGUGGAAUGCGCAGAUAUCAGGAGGAACACCGAUGGCGAAGGCAGGUCUCUGGGCUGUAACUGACGCUGAGAAGCGAAAGCAUGGGGAGCGAACAGGAUUAGAUACCCUGGUAGUCCAUGCCGUAAACGUUGGGCACUAGGUGUGGGGAACAUUCCACGUUUUCCGCGCCGUAGCUAACGCAUUAAGUGCCCCGCCUGGGGAGUACGGCCGCAAGGCUAAAACUCAAAGAAAUUGACGGGGGCCCGCACAAGCGGCGGAGCAUGCGGAUUAAUUCGAUGCAACGCGAAGAACCUUACCAAGGCUUGACAUAUACUGGACCGCACCAGAGAUGGUGUUUCCCUUCGGGGCUGGUAUACAGGUGGUGCAUGGUUGUCGUCAGCUCGUGUCGUGAGAUGUUGGGUUAAGUCCCGCAACGAGCGCAACCCUCGUUCUAUGUUGCCAGCACGUAAUGGUGGGGACUCAUAGGAGACUGCCGGGGUCAACUCGGAGGAAGGUGGGGAUGACGUCAAAUCAUCAUGCCCCUUAUGUCUUGGGCUUCACGCAUGCUACAAUGGCCGGUACAGAGGGUUGCGAUACUGUGAGGUGGAGCUAAUCCCUAAAAGCCGGUCUCAGUUCGGAUUGGGGUCUGCAACUCGACCCCAUGAAGUCGGAGUCGCUAGUAAUCGCAGAUCAGCAACGCUGCGGUGAAUACGUUCCCGGGCCU